AUGCAAAAAACCAUAAGUUUUAUCGUUGAAACUUUAAGUUUUUCAAGGGAUUUUCUUGUUGAAAUCAAUUAUUCCCAUUUUCUCGUUCUUUCGGUCCUCUGCUCGGUUCCUAUACAUGCAAUGCUAGUGCUUGCUCUUCCGAUGAAGACCAUCCAUGCCAUGAACAAGAUCAUCCGAGGAUUCUUGUGGUGCGGCAAAGCCCAAGAAAAUGGUGGAAACUGCUCUGUUGCAUGGGAGACAAUCUGCACGCCCAAAUGGGCAGGUGGUUUGGGCAUACCCGACCUUGCAUGGUUGAAUGUGGCCUUGGAGGCAAGAUAG
This 318-nucleotide ribosomal RNA is filed under the name Triticum aestivum (bread wheat). RNAcentral describes it as "partial small subunit ribosomal RNA". The record is from RNAcentral. Lineage: Eukaryota; Viridiplantae; Streptophyta; Magnoliopsida; Poales; Poaceae.